UUAACACAUGCAAGUCGAGGGGCAUCAGGAAGAAAGCUUGCUUUCUUUGCUGGCGACCGGCGCACGGGUGAGUAACACGUAUCCAACCUGCCCUUUACUCGGGGAUAGCCUUUCGAAAGAAAGAUUAAUACCCGAUAGCAUAAUGAUUCCGCAUGGUUUCAUUAUUAAAGGAUUCCGGUAAAGGAUGGGGAUGCGUUCCAUUAGGUUGUUGGUGAGGUAACGGCCCACCAAGCCUUCGAUGGAUAGGGGUUCUGAGAGGAAGGUCCCCCACAUUGGAACUGAGACACGGUCCAAACUCCUACGGGAGGCAGCAGUGAGGAAUAUUGGUCAAUGGGCGCUAGCCUGAACCAGCCAAGUAGCGUGAAGGAUGAAGGCUCUAUGGGUCGUAAACUUCUUUUAUAUAAGAAUAAAGUGCAGUAUGUAUACUGUUUUGUAUGUAUUAUAUGAAUAAGGAUCGGCUAACUCCGUGCCAGCAGCCGCGGUAAUACGGAGGAUCCGAGCGUUAUCCGGAUUUAUUGGGUUUAAAGGGAGCGUAGGUGGACUGGUAAGUCAGUUGUGAAAGUUUGCGGCUCAACCGUAAAAUUGCAGUUGAUACUGUCAGUCUUGAGUACAGUAGAGGUGGGCGGAAUUCGUGGUGUAGCGGUGAAAUGCUUAGAUAUCACGAAGAACUCCGAUUGCGAAGGCAGCUCACUGGACUGCAACUGACACUGAUGCUCGAAAGUGUGGGUAUCAAACAGGAUUAGAUACCCUGGUAGUCCACACAGUAAACGAUGAAUACUCGCUGUUUGCGAUAUACAGUAAGCGGCCAAGCGAAAGCAUUAAGUAUUCCACCUGGGGAGUACGCCGGCAACGGUGAAACUCAAAGGAAUUGACGGGGGCCCGCACAAGCGGAGGAACAUGUGGUUUAAUUCGAUGAUACGCGAGGAACCUUACCCGGGCUUAAAUUGCAGUGGAAUGAUGUGGAAACAUGUCAGUGAGCAAUCACCGCUGUGAAGGUGCUGCAUGGUUGUCGUCAGCUCGUGCCGUGAGGUGUCGGCUUAAGUGCCAUAACGAGCGCAACCCUUAUCUUCAGUUACUAACAGGUUAUGCUGAGGACUCUGGAGAGACUGCCGUCGUAAGAUGUGAGGAAGGUGGGGAUGACGUCAAAUCAGCACGGCCCUUACGUCCGGGGCUACACACGUGUUACAAUGGGGGGUACAGAAGGCAGCUACCUGGUGACAGGAUGCUAAUCCCAAAAGCCUCUCUCAGUUCGGAUCGAAGUCUGCAACCCGACUUCGUGAAGCUGGAUUCGCUAGUAAUCGCGCAUCAGCCACGGCGCGGUGAAUACGUUCCCGGGCCUUGUACACACCGCCCGUCAAGCCAUGGGAGCCGGGGGUACCUGAAGUACGUAACCGCAAGGAUCGUCCUAGGGUAAAACUGGUGACUGGGGC
This 1430-nucleotide ribosomal RNA is filed under the name uncultured organism. Its description in RNAcentral is "16S ribosomal RNA". It matches the Rfam family "Bacterial small subunit ribosomal RNA". The record is from RNAcentral.